UAGGUGAGACCCCCCAGCGGCUGUUGUUCGCAUUCAGGUGAUCUGCGCGCACGCGGCGGACGUCAUGGGGAAGCUGCAGGAGUUCGAGAUCGAGUUCGACAAGAAAAAAGAGGUGUACAGCCCGGGAGAGUCCAUCUCCGGAACCGUGCGGGUCAGACUGAGCCAGGCGGUCCAGUGCAAAGCCGUCAAAGUGAACUGCAAUGGCUUCUGUGGCAUCAGCAGCAAAGAGAAUGACGUGGCGUGGGCGGUGGAGGAGCAGUACUUCAACAGCACCGUUUCUGUUGCAGACAAAGGAACCCUGAAAGAGGGGGAGACCGUUUUUCCAUUCAAGUUUCUCAUAUCAGCCACCGCUCCGACUUCUUUUAAGGGCAGCUAUGGGAGGAUUGUCUACAGAGUGCGGGCUUUCAUUGAAAAGCCGGGUUUUUCAAAGGACUACACUGCAGAGAAACCUUUCUACCUGCACAGCAUCCUCAACCUCAACGAGCUGCCGGAUGUUUGGGGCAUCAACUCUUCAGAAGUCAGUCAGCAGUUCACCUACAUGCUGAUGAAGACGGGCACCAUAGUCCUGAGGGCCCAAACGGACAUGAAGGGCUACACUCCCAACCAGAUCAUCCAGGUGAUGGCCAACAUCCACAACCAGUCUGGGAAGAGCACGGGCAACAUCUCCGCCAGCCUGGUGCAGAGAGUGACCUACGAGAUGAAGAAGCCGAUCCACGACAUCAAAACCAUAGCAGAGGUGGAGGGAGGGUCAGUGAAGGGGGGCAAAGAGAUGGAAUGGGAAGAGAAGAUCAUCAUCCCUCCUCUUCCUCAGUCCUCUCUGGCUGGCUGUGAGCUCAUAAGGAUUGACUAUUAUGUGAAAGUCAGCCUGAAGUCUCCUGAAGUCGUUCUGACGUUACCCGUCCACAUCGGCAACGUGGCGCUCAGCAAGAAGAGUCGCUCUACAAAAAAACCAGAGGCUCCUUCCUCCUCUAUUGACGCACCGGACAGCAAAGCCUCUUCCUCCUCCCCGUCGCCCUCUUUGCCUGCUCCCAAACCGGCUCCCCGUCCCACCCCGCGCUCCAGGAUGUCCUCCCACAAUCCCCCCAGUGCUCCUCCCGUGGACUACUACCCCGCAGCAGAGGGCGGGAACGUGACAAACGAAGACUUGAACAAGCGCCAGUCCCAGUUGGUGUCGCCGAAUGCUUUCAGCUACGCCCCGGGCCUCUUCUUCCCCCCAAACCUGCCGCCCAACGGCCCGGCAGCUGAGCCGCCAGGGGCUGCUGGGGCUUCAGCGCUUUACCCCCCCCUGAACACUGCCAGCUCAGUGGCUGCACCACACAUCCUGCCUCCAGGCUACGCCACCUCUGCUUACCCUCAUGGUUUCCCCAGAGUGUGUGAUGAGGACUUUGUGCGGCAACAAUAAAGUGGAAUCCAAGUUCUACACACAAACAUUGAAGAAAUCAACUGCAACAAAUAGGCUCCGCCUUCCUAUGAUGAGAGCUGCAACACAUGAGGCAGACCCGUGAGCCAAAACGAUGGCCGCCACCAGCUCCCCCUUUUAAAGAACAGCUGACUUCAAGUGAAACUCUGCUGAAACGGGCGCCUUUGGUGUCAAAUGUUAACAGACUUGAACUGAGCGGUAACAAAACACCGAGAUCUGUCGAUCGCCUGCUCUACUGAUGUAAAGUCUUCCAGCCUUGGAUUUACUAUGUUUCAAGGAUUUGAUUGGAACCGAAGCCAAGCUGAAGUGGAACCCGCGACAUCACACAGUGGUUUUUUCUCAAUUCGUUUCCUUAAAUCUAGUUCUACUUUCCCCAUUUAGAGAAUGAAGAAAGAGCAGUUUUGGUUGUAUAUUUAGUUAACAAGUAGCAUUUUUAUUUUUUGGAUGUGUAAAAAUCCCCUCCUUGGCAUCUGUGAUGUCAUGUUUUAUGAGGAAGAGUGGGUGUUCAGCUCAUAGAUCUGUUUAUUCAGACGCCUUUUUAUCUUCAAUUGAAUUCCCUAAAAAAGCUUUAAUUAUUGUUGAGCAGUUGGAUGUUUGAAAGAAAUAAUUCCAGAAGUUUGAAAACUGGAACACAAUGAUAAUAAAGUCUGCAUUGUUUGUAAUUGUUUGCUCUCGUGUGUUCUGUUCAUGCAGGUUAUUUUAGGUAUUUUUGAUAUUUACUGAGCUUUUAUUUUCUUCUAAUGUGCUUUGAUUUCUAUUGGCUUAGUAAAAUCUGCCAGGUAUAUUUAUUUGUCAUUUAAAAUGCUAUCCAACUCCUCUUUGUAUUUCAAUAAAUCAGUGAAACCACCAG
RNA transcript from Oryzias latipes (Japanese medaka), 2270 nucleotides. It is a transcript of the gene named arrestin domain containing 1a, with no coding region annotated. Lineage: Eukaryota; Metazoa; Chordata; Actinopteri; Beloniformes; Adrianichthyidae. The record is from RefSeq and is a predicted model, not a curated record.